GUCUACGACUAUGCCACCCUGAACGUGCCUGAUAUCAUCUGAUCUUGGGAGCUAAGCAGGGUCGGGCCUGGUUAGUACUUGGAUGGGAGACUACUUAGGAAUACCGGGUGCUGUAGGUG
This 119-nucleotide ribosomal RNA is filed under the name Pteropus alecto (black flying fox). RNAcentral also lists the same sequence under 1 other name. The record is from RNAcentral. Lineage: Eukaryota; Metazoa; Chordata; Mammalia; Chiroptera; Pteropodidae.